CCCUCCGAAGUUUCCCUCAGGA
Molecule: non-coding RNA, 22 nt
Filed under: Arabidopsis thaliana (thale cress)
Lineage: Eukaryota; Viridiplantae; Streptophyta; Magnoliopsida; Brassicales; Brassicaceae
Also listed under: 1 other name
Source: RNAcentral